GCGGCUGUGGCGGAAUUGGCAGACGCGCUAGAUUCAGGUUCUAGUGAAGGUUGCUUCGUGGGGGUUCAAGUCCCUUCAGCCGCACCA
This 87-nucleotide transfer RNA is filed under the name Bacillota bacterium. RNAcentral's name for it is "tRNA-Leu". It matches the Rfam family "tRNA". From Rfam's summary of the family: Transfer RNA (tRNA) molecules are approximately 80 nucleotides in length. Their secondary structure includes four short double-helical elements and three loops (D, anti-codon, and T loops). The record is from RNAcentral. Lineage: Bacteria; Bacillati; Bacillota.